AACUAACGCUGGCGGCGCGUCUUAAACAUGCAAGUCGAACGGUAGUCCUUGAGCUUGCUUAGGGAUGAGAGUGGCGAACGGGUGAGUAACACGUGGAUAAUCUGCCUCCGGGUUGGGGAUAACUGUCCGAAAGGAUAGCUAAUACCGAAUGAGAUGGCGGUUACAUAAGUAGCAGCCAUUAAAGGUGGGGACCGCAAGGCCUACUGCCUGGAGAUGAGUCCGCGGCUGAUUAGCUAGUUGGUGGGGUAACGGCCUACCAAGGCGACGAUCAGUAGCCGGCCUGAGAGGGUGAACGGCCACAUUGGGACUGAGAUACGGCCCAGACUCCUACGGGAGGCAGCAGUUAAGAAUCUUGCACAAUGGGCGCAAGCCUGAUGCAGCGACGCCGCGUGAAUGAUGAAGGCCUUCGGGUUGUAAAGUUCAGUAAGCAGGGAAGAAUAAGCAAGGGGUAAUAUUUCUUGUGAUGACGGUACCUGCCUAAAGCCCCGGCUAACUACGUG
Molecule: ribosomal RNA, 500 nt
Filed under: uncultured bacterium
Lineage: Bacteria
Description: bacterial SSU rRNA
Rfam family: Bacterial small subunit ribosomal RNA
Source: RNAcentral